Molecule: ribosomal RNA, 437 nt
Filed under: uncultured Rhodocyclaceae bacterium
Lineage: Bacteria; Pseudomonadati; Pseudomonadota; Betaproteobacteria; Rhodocyclales; Rhodocyclaceae
Description: bacterial SSU rRNA
Rfam family: Bacterial small subunit ribosomal RNA
Source: RNAcentral
AUUAAUUCGAUGCAACGCGAAAACCUUACCUACCCUUGACAUGUCCGGAAUCCCGAAGAGAUUUGGGAGUGCUCGCAAGAGAGCCGGAACACAGGUGCUGCAUGGCUGUCGUCAGCUCGUGUCGUGAGAUGUUGGGUUAAGUCCCGCAACGAGCGCAACCCUUGUCAUUAGUUGCCAUCAUUUGGUUGGGCACUCUAAUGAGACUGCCGGUGACAAACCGGAGGAAGGUGGGGAUGACGUCAAGUCCUCAUGGCCCUUAUGGGUAGGGCUUCACACGUCAUACAAUGGUCGGUACAGAGGGUUGCCAACCCGCGAGGGGGAGCUAAUCCCACAAAGCCGAUCGUAGUCCGGAUCGCAGUCUGCAACUCGACUGCGUGAAGUCGGAAUCGCUAGUAAUCGUGGAUCAGCAUGUCACGGUGAAUACGUUCCCGGGUCUU